AACACGUGAGUAACCUGCCUUAGACAUUGGGAUAGCCUCGGGAAACCGGGAUUAAUACCCCAUAGGUGGAUUGGUCGCAUGACUAAUUCAUUAAAGGUGGCUCUGCUACCACUCAUGGAUAGCCUCGCGGCGUAUUAGCUAGUUGGUAAGGUAAUGGCUUACCAAGGCAGUGAUACGUAGCCGACUUGAGAGGGUGAUCGGCCACACUGGGACUGAGACACGGCCCAG
RNAcentral lists this ribosomal RNA (228 nucleotides) under uncultured Carnobacteriaceae bacterium. RNAcentral's name for it is "partial 16S ribosomal RNA". It matches the Rfam family "Bacterial small subunit ribosomal RNA", at positions 112 to 334 of the family's 1533-position model. The record is from RNAcentral. Lineage: Bacteria; Bacillati; Bacillota; Bacilli; Lactobacillales; Carnobacteriaceae.